CUGACUAAUGGCCUGCAGUCGCAGCUGGCCAGGCCUGACCGGGGAGGGGCCCUUGAGGGCACCGCCAUCCCCACGGCACGUCCCGGCAGGUGCGCUCGGCCGCCUGCCCCCAGGAACAGCUGCUGAUGGGGCGGGCGAGAGACUGGGUCUUGGUGGGGGCGGGCUGGCAGCCCCCGCUCUGCUGCAAGCGUGGCUCUGGGGUCCAGUGCUCAUCAGCUAAGCAGAGUUGGAGUGUGAAAGCCAGGCUGAACCUGCCUAAUUGUGCCUGUGAAGGCUAUUCAGAGAGACCGUUCUUGGAAGGAAAUCAGGACGAUUAGCUCUUGGCUGCAGCGAGAGGGGAAGCGAGCUAAUCAUGGAAAUUUUGGAGCGGCCAUACGCGUUUCCCACUGAGCACCUUUGUGGAAUCCUGAGCGAUGAAGUUUCCAGAGGGUGGCAUGGCUGAGAGCAACGGUGGCCUCUGAGGACACGUGGCCAGGUAGCUGAUGUCCCCAGGACCCCGUUCCGCGCGGGGAGGAGGCUGGGCGAAGCUAACUGGGCUGCCAGCACCACAGAGGGGACCCACUGUUCCUGACCCCAGCCGCUCCUUUUGGACACGAGAGAUAAGUAGUGUAACGACUACAUGAUAUAAAAUGGUUUGAAACAAGGUCUGUAAACAGCAUCAUGCCAACAGGCACUCAGGGGUAUGUGACUAGCAUCCUCUCCUGGGUGACCCGUGGUAGGAGUGGAGGCAAACCACAACAGAUGAAGGAGGUGAAGAGGUCAGGGAGGAUGCUCCCCCUGAAGAGACUGGAAAGGACACGCAGCUGAUUGGACUUGGGGUUCGGCUGGGUCCCUGUUCACCCUGUUCACUGCGGGUGUGUGUCGUGUGCCCUGUGGCUCCCUGGGGCUUCUCUUUGCUGACUUCUCCCUGCUCACUCUGCUGAGUACAGCGGCCCUCCCACAGCCCACGGCGUCUGAAGGUGGAAAGGGCGGUGGGAGGCACGGAGGGAGUUUGCCGGUGGGCUUGCUGGCCCAGCGGUCCUUCUACCCGUGGGGCCGAGUAGGAGGGUGGCCUGUGGCAGGGGAUCUCUGUCCGUCGGCCUCCCCCGGCCCUCUCCGCUGCCUACCUGCCAGGAACACACAAUUCCGUCCUAAUGCCUUUUCAAUAAAGCCUUAAAGAUGA
Dama dama (fallow deer) is the source of this 1162-nucleotide long non-coding RNA. RefSeq lists it as uncharacterized. The transcript is spliced from 3 exons. NCBI's taxonomy places the organism in Eukaryota, Metazoa, Chordata, Mammalia, Artiodactyla, Cervidae. The record is from RefSeq and is a predicted model, not a curated record.